GAUGAACGUUGGCGGUGUGCCUAAUACAUGCAAGUCGAACGGAGACUGUAGCAAUACUGUCUUAGUGGCGAACGGGUGAGUAACGCGUUGGUGAUCUGCCUCGAAGUGUGGAAUAACCUCCCGAAAGGGAAGCUAAUACCGCAUAGUCUCUCAAGGUUUAGAAAAUUGAGAGUAAAGGAUUUAUUCGCUUCGAGAGGAGCCUGCGUCCCAUCAGCUAGUUGGUAGGGUAACGGCCUACCAAGGCAAUGACGGGUAGGGGACCUGAGAGGGUCGGCCCCCCACAAUGGAACUGAAACACGGUCCAUACACCUACGGGUGGCAGCAGUAGGGAAUAUUAGAAAUGGACGAAAGUCUGAUCUAGCAACACCGCGUGUGCGAAGAAGGCCUUCGGGUCGUAAAGCACUUUUUGGAAGGAAUAGGAAGGAAUGUACUUCCAGAAUAAGUCUCGGCUAACUACGUG
This 460-nucleotide ribosomal RNA is filed under the name uncultured bacterium. Its description in RNAcentral is "bacterial SSU rRNA". It matches the Rfam family "Bacterial small subunit ribosomal RNA", at positions 28 to 507 of the family's 1533-position model. The record is from RNAcentral.